Molecule: long non-coding RNA, 598 nt
Filed under: Homo sapiens (human)
Lineage: Eukaryota; Metazoa; Chordata; Mammalia; Primates; Hominidae
Description: HSALNT0218488
Source: RNAcentral
AGACAGCUUCGGUUGCCGUGUGAUGAUCCUAAUUAAAUUAUGUAACGGCACUGAACUAGCUAAGCUGCCCAUGAAUGUCACAGCUGUCAAAAAUCUGUACACAAGAAGAUAAAAAAUGAAAUUAAUAAAAGGCAGAUCAACAUUUCGUUUGUUUGGAACACUUUUUUUGGUACAUCUGCAUGUUCUAAAAGGCCAACGGAAAUGUAAGUUGACUAGUUGUAUUUGGGCUGGCACCAGGGCCUGUCUCAGUAUUUAAACACCAAAAUAAUCAAUGGAAUUAAUGGCCAAGAGGAACAGGGUCUGAGGAUUUUUCUAGCCAUUUCCGCUGUCCAUGCGCUUGGCUUGCUUGGGUGCCACAAACGAGAUUCUGACAGGUUGUCACUGCCCUGACCUGAAACUCAAGUUUGUGAGGUAGACUUUCUGGACAGAGCCUCUGGUAAACAAAUUAGAUAUAAACCGAAGGCGAGGGCACCAAGGUCACGGUGGUGAGGGAACAUCAAGUGACAGGCGCUGGGACCCCCGAUGCAUGGCUUGCAGAGCAGAUGUUCGCAAGGAUGCAGUGAUUAUUGAACUGGUAAUAAAAAAGCAUCAGCUUACA